Molecule: unclassified non-coding RNA, 205 nt
Filed under: Hevea brasiliensis (rubber tree)
Lineage: Eukaryota; Viridiplantae; Streptophyta; Magnoliopsida; Malpighiales; Euphorbiaceae
Source: RNAcentral
AAAAUAGGUUUUUCAAUAAUGGUUAUUUUCCAUUCAAUUUAUCAAUAAUAUUUGAAGUUAAAAUAUUAUUAUGAAAAAUUAAAUAUAAUAGAAUAAAAUGUAGUUCACAAUAAAAUAAGUGGUUUACAAUAUGUUUUGAGUAUAAAAAAAAAUAAAAAAGAAAUAUGCAGUAACAGAUAUUAAAAAUCAUCAUCAUCUUCCUCAU